CCUACGGGAUGCAGCAGUGGGGAAUAUUGCACAAUGGGCGCAAGCCUGAUGCAGCCAUGCCGCGUGUGUGAAGAAGGCCUUCGGGUUGUAAAGCACUUUCAGCGGGGAGGAAGGCGAUAAGGUUAAUAACCUUGUCGAUUGACGUUACCCGCAGAAGAAGCACCGGCUAACUCCGUGCCAGCAGCCGCGGUUAUACGGAGGGUGCAAGCGUUAAUCGGAAUUACUGGGCGUAAAGCGCACGCAGGCGGUCUGUCAAGUCGGAUGUGAAAUCCCCGGGCUCAACCUGGGAACUGCAUUCGAAACUGGCGGGCUAGAGUCUUGUAGAGGGGGGUAGAAUUCCAGGUGUAGCGGUGAAAUGCGUAGAGAUCUGGAGGAAUACCGGUGGCGAAGGCGGCCCCCUGGACAAAGACUGACGCUCAGGUGCGAAAGCGUGGGGGGCAAACAGGAUUAGAUACCCUCGUAGUC
RNAcentral lists this ribosomal RNA (465 nucleotides) under uncultured bacterium. RNAcentral describes it as "bacterial SSU rRNA". It matches the Rfam family "Bacterial small subunit ribosomal RNA", at positions 338 to 795 of the family's 1533-position model. The record is from RNAcentral.